This 3088-nucleotide long non-coding RNA is filed under the name Sarcophilus harrisii (Tasmanian devil). RNAcentral describes it as "lncRNA (ENSSHAG00000032236.1)". The record is from RNAcentral. Lineage: Eukaryota; Metazoa; Chordata; Mammalia; Dasyuromorphia; Dasyuridae.
GGGGGUCACGGCCUCUCCGGCCUCCGCGGGUUCCCGUGUCCCCCGAGGCAGCGGCGGCGGCGUCUCCCAGCGGGCGGCCCCUCCCUCCUGUGGGUCCCGCGGGGCCGCCGGCCUGGCCACCUGUGGCGGCUCCGGGACUCCGGGCCCCCCGCCGGCCCCCCUGCCCCUCCCCCGCGCCCCCUCCCCGCCAGCCCCUCCCCAGGGGUUGUCACUGAGCGCGCCUCCCCUGCCGGCGGGAGGACAGAGUAUGCACCUGCUGUGUGCGGGCGGCGUGGAGGGACCUGCCCACGGCGCGCCUGAACCCCGGACCAAUGGGAGCGCCUGGGGGGCGGGGAGGGGUUCCAGCCAGGCAGGGGGCUCCCAGCCCCGCAACGGCUCGGAAACGGGAGCGGGGAUGGGCGGGAGGGGGAUGGGGGCGAGCACUGCCCCCGAAAAGGAGGAGCCCAGAGCGGCCUGGGGACCGCCCCCGGGCUUUGGCAGCCGCGUGGGGAGGAGGGAGGUGACCCCGGUCAGCUCAGGCCUCCCUCUCCUGGAGAAGUGGGGGGGGCUCCCCUCCCCUCCUGCAGGACCCCGGGGGCUCCCCCUCCCCUCCUGCAGGACCCCGGGGGCUCCCCCUCCCCUCCUGCAGGACCCCGGGGGCUCCCCCUCCCCUCCUGCAGGACCCCGGGGGCUCCCCCUCCCCUCCUGCAGGACCCCGGGGGCUCCCCCUCCCCUCCUGCAGGACCCCGGGGGCUCCCCCUCCCCUCCUGCAGGACCCCGGGGGCUCCCCCUCCCCUCCUGCAGGGCCCCGGGGGCUCCCCCUCCCCUCCUGCAGGACCCCGGGGGCUCCCCCUCCCCUCCUGCAGGACCCCGGGGGCUCCCCUUCCCCUCCUGCACAAAGGCAGGCUCUCUGAGAGGUCCCAAGGCUUCCUUCUGCACCCAGCACCCCAUUUUCACCCUCUGAUUGCUUUGGGGCGCCAGCAGCCUUAAAGGGAGGCGCUGGGGAAACUGAGGCACAGGAUUGAAGGGAUUUGUCCAGAGGCGCACAGAGAGCUAGGAAGUGACCAAGCUGGCUGACGCCACCCUGCCCGGGAUGGCAGAAGACCAGGCGGCCCCCGAGCCCAUGGCUCAGCACUGCAACAGCAACACCUACCGGAGUGCCCAGCAUUCCCAGUCCCUGCUCAGUGGGCUCUUGGCCCUUCGGGACAGCGGCAUUCUUUUUGAUGUCGUCUUGGUGGUGGAAGGCAAACAAAUAGAAGCCCAUCGGAUCCUCCUGGCCGCUUCCUGUGACUACUUCCGAUUCCGUGACCCCGGAGGAGCGAGGGAGGCCGGCGAAUCUGCGCAGCUCCAGGGGGGGCCGGGGCAGCCCCGACCUGCCCCCUGCCCCUCCCCCCGUGGCAGCCAGAUCUAGCACCUGCCAUCUGACAGCCUUGGCUCGGGUCCUCCCCGCCUCCUCCUGAUGACUUGGCAGUGCCCUCUUGGAUCUUCUGCCCCGAGUCUCUCCGUCGGCAGCGCUGCCAGAGGGUUUGACCAAACAUAGAGCCGACUCCGACUCCGCCUCUCUGAAGCCGGCCUCCCGUCCGAGUGUGCCUGUCUCUGGUCCUGCCAUCCCGGCCUCUCAGCACCCCACUGCCAUCUCCAGUGGCGCCCCCUGGGCCUGUGCUGCCCUCCCUGAACUUGGAGGGAUGGAUCUGGGUUUUACACGGACUCAUGUCUUCCAGUGCUUCCUUUGGGGCAGUGACUGUUCCCAUCCUGCACUUCGAAGCGCGUGCCUGGCGGGCGGGAGCCACGGCGUCCACACUUCCCUGCAGUCUGAUGGAGCAGAUGCUCAGUUUACAGAUAAAUUCUCACUGCUGAUUGUUUUUACCUCCUGGCCCGGAGAGAAUAGAACACAGAACAGAGAGGAGACCAAAAUGAAGGGGCCGCCCGAAGUCCGGCCAGUCAGCCCCUCUCUGGGCCCAGACACCGAGGCGCAAAGGAGCCAGAGGCAGUGCCCACGGGGAGCUCCCGUUCUCAGGGCGCACCUUUAAAGAUCUGGCAGGGCUUCCUGGAGGAGGGGGUGCCUGGCUGAGCCCCAAAAGAAGUGUGGGUCCUGAGGGAAUGCAUUCUGGGCCCGGAGGAGAGCCUAUGGCACAUGGACGGGCGGAGGUUUGGCAGGACCCUAGAUUAGGCCCCAUGGAGAGAGCCAGUGAGGCAUAAGGGGCAAAAGUUGGAGGGUCACCUGGUGGUGGCAGGGAGCCCCUCCAGGUUCUUGAGCAGGGCAGCGACCCCCUCAGAGGACUUGCUAGCUGUGCUUGCUGGCUGUGUGUACGGCUGAGCUAGACACCUGAAUGCUCCCCUUCUGGAGGCCAGUGCUAACAGCUCCCCGCUAGCGCCUCCCCCCCAGGCUGUCGUCAGGGCCAUACAGGGAGAGCCCACCCCUUCUGUGUGCCAGUGGGACCCUGGCUGCUUAGGAGAGCCUCUACUGGGAGAGAGCCAGGGAGGCCGGGAGGGGAGGCCUGCCUCCAGUGUGUGAACCAGGGAGGGAUUUCUGGAGCCUUUAGCUCAGCCUCGGUGUCUGGGACAGAGGCUGGGGAUCUGGACCCCGGCGUCAGGGAGAAUUACUGCAGAGGAAAGCGGGUGACUUGGUCACCAUGACACGGUAGUGAGGAUGGCGGCGGGGUGGGUGUCGGCGUGCUCAUCCCGCUCCCCGGGCUUGUUCCUGCCUCGGCCCGUGCCUGCGCUCGCUUGCCUGUAUUCAGACUUUCUGCGAGUCCCCGGGACCCCCAAAGUGGACAGUGUCUGAACGCCCUCCCCUGGGGCUGGUGCGGGGAAAAGACGAGGGUUCAGAUCCAGAUUGAGAUUUGUCCUGGCUCUGCAGCCUCUGGCACCAGACUUGGCCUCUCUUUGCCACCGUUUCCUCCUCCAGCGAGAUGGUCUCUGGGGAGUCUUGAGUUCAGUGCCUGUAGUUGGUGCUUCCUAAGCUCUGUUAAGGGCCUGUGGGGCAGAGUGGGGGUGGGUGUGGGUAUCUCCAAUGCCGGCUGGAGAGAGCCAUGGGGAAGCCGGAGUGCCCGAGGGAGUGGGGGCCUCUUGUCCCUGGGUUCCAGCCUCGUCUUUUGGGUCUUCACUA